This 699-nucleotide ribosomal RNA is filed under the name Monilobracon sp. RDB-2000. RNAcentral's name for it is "eukaryotic LSU rRNA". It matches the Rfam family "Eukaryotic large subunit ribosomal RNA", at positions 386 to 793 of the family's 3401-position model. The record is from RNAcentral. Lineage: Eukaryota; Metazoa; Arthropoda; Insecta; Hymenoptera; Braconidae.
CCUGAGAAACCCAAAAGAUCGAAUGGGGAGAUUCAUCGUCAGCUCAUUUUAUAUAUAUGCAAGUUAUGAUAUGGGUUACUUUUACACCUUGUGUGUAUUAUGUAUUGCCUGUACAUUCUUGUGUAUUUAAUUGUAAGAUGUGGUCGGCGUGCACUUCUCCCCUAGUAGGACAUCGCGACCCGUUGAGUUUUGUUGGUCUACGGCCCAAGUGGAUGCUUUUAAUGAAUGUUUUCCAUAAUAUUUAUUGAAAACCCUUGGUGUCUCCUGACUGGCACUCGUCGGUAAUCGCACAUGGUAUUGAGCCGCAUAUAUUUUUUGAUAUGCGUUCCUAUCUGUCGCAAGCGAGGUUAAUAAAUAUAAAUUACUGAUAGUACGGACUUAGUGCCGUCGUUGGUAUUAAUCAGCUGUUGGUUGUACAGAAUUCUAGAACUGGCUCUUUAUUUUUUCUUUUUUAAAGAAAAAAAAUACUUGUCAGCGAUGCUACUGCUUUGGGUACUUUCAGGACCCGUCUUGAAACACGGACCAAGGAGUCUAACAUGUACGCGAGUCAUUGGGAUUUUUAAAAAUUAAACCUAAAGGCGUAAUGAAAGUAAAUGUCGUCCUUGUGUCGAUUAAGGGAGGAUGGGCUAUGGAUUAUAUUUUAUAAUUAUAUAGCCUCGCACUCUCGGGGCGUCUCAUUCUCAUUGCGAGAAAGAGGCA